RNAcentral lists this long non-coding RNA (202 nucleotides) under Elaeis guineensis (African oil palm). RNAcentral's name for it is "long non-coding RNA (EGUI_LNC006831)". Lineage: Eukaryota; Viridiplantae; Streptophyta; Magnoliopsida; Arecales; Arecaceae. The record is from RNAcentral.
GUGGCGGAACGGAAUCAUCAGCCUGCCAAUCGUGUUACGUAGCCGCAGAUACAUGAUAGAGGAACAGCUGAUCCGUUAGUCGGAAAGUCAAAACGCGAACGUUGAAGUCACGCAAAGGUGUAGAGUAACGAAGAAACCACGACAGGUACAAUAGUGGGUUUCCAACGGAAUGGUACCGAACUUGACUCGCUUUUACGUAUUC